GUGCUUGCUUUGGCAGCACGUAUACUAAAAUUGGAAAAAUACAGAGAAGAUUAGCAUGGCCCCUAUGCAAGGAUGACACAUAAAUUCGUGAAGCAUUCCAUUUAUUU
Nomascus leucogenys (northern white-cheeked gibbon) is the source of this 107-nucleotide small nuclear RNA. The record is from Ensembl. NCBI's taxonomy places the organism in Eukaryota, Metazoa, Chordata, Mammalia, Primates, Hylobatidae.